Molecule: ribosomal RNA, 237 nt
Filed under: uncultured bacterium
Lineage: Bacteria
Description: partial 16S ribosomal RNA
Rfam family: Bacterial small subunit ribosomal RNA
Source: RNAcentral
CGAACGGGUGAGUAACGCGUGAGGAACCUGCCUCAAAGAGGGGGACAACAGUUGGAAACGACUGCUAAUACCGCAUAAGCCCACGGGUCGGCAUCGACCAGAGGGAAAAGGAGCAAUCCGCUUUGAGAUGGCCUCGCGUCCGAUUAGCUAGUUGGUGAGGUAAUGGCCCACCAAGGCAACGAUCGGUAGCCGGACUGAGAGGUUGAACGGCCACAUUGGGACUGAGACACGGCCCAG